This 914-nucleotide ribosomal RNA is filed under the name uncultured bacterium. RNAcentral describes it as "bacterial SSU rRNA". It matches the Rfam family "Bacterial small subunit ribosomal RNA", at positions 8 to 916 of the family's 1533-position model. The record is from RNAcentral.
AGAGUUUGAUCAUGGCUCAGAUUGAACGCUGGCGGAAUGCUUUACACAUGCAAGUCGAGCGGCAGCGCGGGGGCAACCCUGGCGGCGAGCGGCGAACGGGUGAGUAACAUAUCGGAACGUACCCUGUCGUGGGGGAUAACACAUCGAAAGGUGUGCUAAUACCGCAUACGACCUGAGGGUGAAAGCGGGGGAUCGCAAGACCUCGCGCGACAGGAGCGGCCGAUAUCGGAUUAGCUAGUUGGUGAGGUAAAGGCUCACCAAGGCGACGAUCCGUAGCGGGUCUGAGAGGACGACCCGCCACACUGGAACUGAGACACGGUCCAGACUCCUAUGGGAGGCAGCAGUGGGGAAUUUUGGACAAUGGGGGCAACCCUGAUCCAGCCAUUCCGCGUGAGUGAAGAAGGCCUUCGGGUUGUAAAGCUCUUUCAGCAGGAACGAAACGGUGGCCCCUAAUACGGGCUACUAAUGACGGUACCUGAAGAAGAAGCACCGGCUAACUACGUGCCAGCAGCCGCGGUAAUACGUAGGGUGCGAGCGUUAAUCGGAAUUACUGGGCGUAAAGCGUGCGCAGGCGGUUCCAUAAGACAGAUGUGAAAUCCCCGGGCUUAACCUGGGAACUGCGUUUGUGACUGUGGGACUCGAGUGUGGCAGAGGGGGGUGGAAUUCCACGUGUAGCAGUGAAAUGCGUAGAGAUGUGGAGGAACACCGAUGGCGAAGGCAGCCCCCUGGGUCAACACUGACGCUCAUGCACGAAAGCGUGGGGAGCAAACAGGAUUAGAUACCCUGGUAGUCCACGCCCUAAACGAUGCGAACUAGGUGUUGGGGAAGGAGACUUUCUUAGUACCGCAGCUAACGCGUGAAGUUCGCCGCCUGGGGAGUACGGUCGCAAGAUUAAAACUCAAAGGAAUUGACGG